GACGAACGCUGGCGGCGUGCCUAAUACAUGCAAGUUGAGCGCUGAUGGUUGGUACUUGUACCAACUGGAUGAGCAGCGAACGGGUGAGUAACGCGUGGGGAAUCUGCCUUUGAGCGGGGGACAACAUUUGGAAACGAAUGCUAAUACCGCAUAAAAACUUUAAACACAAGUUUUAAGUUUGAAAGAUGCAAUUGCAUCACUCAAAGAUGAUCCCGCGUUGUAUUAGCUAGUUGGUGAGGUAAAGGCUCACCAAGGCGAUGAUACAUAGCCGACCUGAGAGGGUGAUCGGCCACAUUGGGACUGGGACACGGCCCAAGCUCCUACGGGAGGCAGCAGUAGGGAAUCUUCGGCAAUGGACGAAAGUCUGAACGAGCAACGCCGCGUGAGUGAAGAAGGUUUUCGGAUCGUAAAACUCUGUUGGUAGAGAAGAACGUUGGUGAGAGUGGAAAGCUCAUCAAGUGACGGUAACUACACAGAAAGGGACGGCUAACUACGUG
Molecule: ribosomal RNA, 497 nt
Filed under: uncultured bacterium
Lineage: Bacteria
Description: partial 16S ribosomal RNA
Rfam family: Bacterial small subunit ribosomal RNA
Source: RNAcentral